Molecule: long non-coding RNA, 721 nt
Filed under: Homo sapiens (human)
Lineage: Eukaryota; Metazoa; Chordata; Mammalia; Primates; Hominidae
Description: MYLK antisense RNA 1, transcript variant 2 (MYLK-AS1)
Source: RNAcentral
ACUUCCCAUCAGCCCUUGAGGCUGCAGGGACCAGCCCUUUGUGGAGAAGCCCAGGCGGCCUAGAAUCCAGUGUCGUCCGUGAGUGCUUGGCUGGUGUUCAAGUGCAUCUUCCAGCCUGAGACCGCGUGGACUCGCUCAUCGUGAGGGCGAGAGGAGGAUAAGCCCAUUGGGCUGUCGGCUGAGAGUGAGGUGCGGGAUUGCUGAUGAAAUCCUUGGCAUCGUCGGAGAUCUCAUCGAAUGCCUCGUCGUCGAAGUCCCAGGUGGCUGAGGUAACGUUGGCCAAGGUUUCGUUAUCGUUGUCUCCCAUGAAGGGGGAAAGGCCACUGACUCUGGAGAGACAAGAGCAGGACAGCAGGUGUGGCUAGGAGAGGGCGCGACGACCAGAUGAGGGAAUUGAGGCACAGCCCAGGCUCAAGUCACCUGCCCAAAGAUUCACAGCCAGUGAGAUUGGAAGCCAGGUAUCUGCCUCUAGAGCCUGUCCUCUUAAAUGCUAUACUAUCCUAACAUUUCUGUAAAGAUGAAGUAAAUUGCAGUGUUCAGCACUGGCACCAGGCCUGGUCCACAGUAAGGAGGCGGUCCAUGCCCGGAGAUCUCAUGCAGUUCUGCUGGGUUCCCUCCACUGCCUUACCAAGCUGUGAGUGCAGGAAUGACUUUGUGACCAGCAGCUUAAGCCAAAUAAACUUUAUAAGGUAAAGAAUUUCAAAACAAAAAAAAAAAAAAA